UCAGUAACACGUAGUCAACCUAACUCGUGGACGUGGAUAAUCUCGGGAAACUGAGGAUAAACCACGAUAGAUAACGGUGCCUGGAAUGGCCCAUUGUCAAAACAGUUUACUGCCACGGGAUGGGACUGCGGCCUAUCAGCUUGUUGGUGAGGUAAUGGCCCACCAAGGCUAUAACAGGUACGGGCUCUGAGAGGAGAAGCCCGGAGAUGGGUACUGAGACACGGACCCAGGCCCUAUGGGGCGCAGCAGGCGAGAAACCUUAGCAAUGUGCGAAAGCACGACUGGGUCAGUCCGAGUGAUUUCUGAUAAAGGAGUCUUUUGCCCGUCCUAAAAGCACGGGUGAAUAAGGGGUGGGCAAGUCUGGUGCCA
This 369-nucleotide ribosomal RNA is filed under the name unidentified archaeon. RNAcentral describes it as "bacterial SSU rRNA". It matches the Rfam family "Archaeal small subunit ribosomal RNA", at positions 90 to 460 of the family's 1478-position model. The record is from RNAcentral.